Molecule: long non-coding RNA, 1555 nt
Filed under: Pelobates cultripes (western spadefoot toad)
Lineage: Eukaryota; Metazoa; Chordata; Amphibia; Anura; Pelobatidae
Source: RNAcentral
CACAUAUCAAAAAUCAACAUAGCUUCUUUAUACAAAAGAACAUAGUACUAUUAUAUAACAUUAAAAAUCUAGAACAUCCACACGUAUUAUAGUAUUCAAUAAGAUAAAUAAGAAUCGACUAUGUAUGAAUAAUAUAUCUUUCAGCCAUACUUUAUAUUUACUUUGAUGGUCAUAUAUUGUUGCGAGACUAAUAUAAAGUUCUUCCACACGUAGCUGUCCCAUUUGAGUACAGGAACAAUAUUCCAACGUUUCUUCAGCUCUAUAGUUGUUACAAUUCCAUACAUAAUCGCUAUUCCAAUAAAACAAACUAAAAAAAGUUAAUUACCAACAGACAAACAAAAAAUAAAAAAUAAAAAUACAAAAACUAAAUGUUAAAUCUCUGAGACUCGACACAGGGGUACAAACAACACAAUCCUUGUUAACCUAUAGUGUAUCUGUUUGUCCAGGGUAACCAUGAUUUGACCGAGUUCCUGUUACUGAAAAAGGGAUUAGAUUCCAUCCUAUAUUGAUAUUCUAUUUGUUCCAUAAUAUUAUGCCAAGAUAAAGGGAUGGAGGAUUUCCAUGCCCUAGCUAUGCAGAUUUUAAUUGCAAAAAAGAUAUGGGUCAGAAGAUAUUUUUGGUAAUUAUCUUGUGAGGGAAAACCAAUAUUAAAAAGAAAAAGUUGGGUACUGAUUUCUUUUAUUUCCUUAAAAAUAGAAUUAACAAGACCAAUCAUUUGAUUCUUAACAUUAUUAAGCCCCUGACAUUCCCACCAUAUGUGAUACAUAGUGCCCUCCUCAAUUCCACAUCUCCAACAGAUCCUAAAGUAGGCAGAUGAUAUUUUGUAAAGUUUAACCGGUACCAUAUACCAUCUAUAUAUUAUUUUUAAGUGAGUUUCGUAGAGAGACACACUAUGUAGACAACGUUUUACUAGGAGUGUAGUUUUGGUCCAUUCCACAAGUGGAAAGGAUUCCCCAAUAUCGUGUUCCCAUUUAAUAAAGGAGGAAGCAUGGGAGUCUUGUACCAUUGAAUCUAGUAGUUUAGUAAAUCUAGAAAUCCCUCCCUUCUUUUUAUAUAGCUCUAUAAGGUGGUUAACAUUAUAUUCCAUAAGUACAGUUCUAGAUAGAAAAUUUUUAAUCCUUAAAUGUUGGAAAAGAUCUCUGGAGGGAAGAUUAAAUUUAACUUGCAGUUGUGUAAAUGGAAUGGGUUUAGACCCAACCCAUAAAUCAGAAAUCUUCAGUAUGCCCAGAUGUAUUCAGGGUUGGACAUUUAUUUAAUCCAAACGUGAUUUAAAACCACCAAUGGAACAUAAUAUAGUAAUUUGGCCUCCUGUUUUAAUUUUCUGUUUAGGAUUUUAGCGGUAUUAAUCAUAUCUAUUAUUAUUUUAUUAGAAAAAUACUUGAUUUCUAUUUCUCCUAAUUUCAGGAUACCCAACCAAAAUAGAACAGGCAAUUUAUGUCUGGUAAAAAGAAAAGGGGAAGAGUCUGCGCUAACUCAGUGAAGCAGCAACCCUAAUAAAGGAAUCCCUCACGAACCCUUAUUAGAAACAGAGAAAUGCAAAAAAGGGAAUUAAGGG